RNAcentral lists this ribosomal RNA (242 nucleotides) under uncultured bacterium. RNAcentral describes it as "partial 16S ribosomal RNA". It matches the Rfam family "Bacterial small subunit ribosomal RNA", at positions 15 to 240 of the family's 1533-position model. The record is from RNAcentral.
GAUCCUGCUCAGGACGAACGCUGGCGGCGCGCCUAACACGUGCAAGUCGAACGGAGAUUACAGGCGGAAGUUUUCGGAUGGAAGCUUGUAAACUUAGUGGCGGACGGGUGAGUAACACGUGAGCAACCUGCCUAUCAGAGGGGGAUAACGAUUGGAAACGAUCGCUAAUACCGCAUGACAUAGCGGAACCGCAUGGUUUUGUUAUCAAAGAUUUUAUCGCUGAUAGAUGGGCUCGCGUCCGA